Long non-coding RNA from Daphnia magna, 1848 nucleotides. RefSeq lists it as uncharacterized. NCBI's taxonomy places the organism in Eukaryota, Metazoa, Arthropoda, Branchiopoda, Diplostraca, Daphniidae. The record is from RefSeq and is a predicted model, not a curated record. The transcript is spliced from 2 exons.
UUUUCCUUAACCAUUCUCAUUUGCUUUCUUUUUCCCAGUCUUUGUUUCUUCGUGGUGCUAGCAACAGCAAGGGUUUUUGGUAGCUGUCCAAUCAGAUGAAACUUCUCAAACAGGUAGUAUCACAUGUACUACCGUAAAUUUAAAAACUGGGAUUUUCCCAACUUCCGAAAAAUAACAAGAAUGACCUCGACAUCCUUUAAUGUCACAGCUAGGACAAAAGAAAGCGACUUGAGACGAAGAUGUCAAAGAAAAAUAAUUAUAUAAAACGGUUUGUUAAUACGUAUUAAAAAUAAAAUAAAGAUAGAGCAAUCUAUUGUUUAGCAAGGAAAAAAAGGUUAUGGGAAAAAAACUAAUAAACCAGUUGAUUUAAUGAAAAAAUGUAUAGAGGCAUAAAGACUAGCAAGUCAAUAUCGAUUAAGCAAUUUUUAAACGGCACGUUCCCAAUAGCUAAUGAAAAGGCAAUUCGUGAGACUGAUAGCGAAUCUAGCCAAGACGUGUAUUGUAUAAAGAAUGCCAAGUAAUACUGCCUAUUGAGCAACUAUAUAAACGUACGAUUCAAUAAUACCUGCGCAAGGUAUAAUGAUUACGUCACCGAAAAAAAAAUGAACUAAUAGAAAAACUAACAAGAGUAAAAAAAAAAACAUUCAAGCACGUCAACAACAAAAACAGGAUUUCCUUUCUUCAUUAUAGGUUAAAUGAAUGUUCAAACAAUAGACCAUAUACGGCAUUAUACUUUUCUCCAAUCUUUUGCGCUUUCACCCGCGUCGGGUGAAAGGAAGAGCGUAAAGCGAGUUUCUUUAGGAUGUGGAUUUUUUGGGGGAAAAUCCAUACCUUAAUCGGAUAAACUUAUUCGUUUAUGCUCUUCGUGUUAAGCGAAUUCAUCGGGCUAAACCCAGAAAAAAAUCGCCGUCAGCUUAAUGUUCGACUUUUUUGUUGCCAUCUCAAACCAGUAAAAAAUAUGUGAAGCUCGGAGAAAUCACGUAGUUGCACUGAGGUCGCAAAUAAUGUUUUUCUGCUUCGUGGCUUCCGCCGCAACAAAUGCCCGUAGCGAAGGAAAAACCUCGGAGAGCAAUGCCCAUGCUAGCACAUUGUUUAAGGGUGUUCUUUGUUAUCUGGAGAGGGAGAGGAAAAACAGAAGAAAAACUAAAACCAAAAGGAGAAAAAAAAAAGUAAACGAACGAAGCUGCUAACUUUAACUUUUCCCGGAUCUGUAUGAAAUGAAACGCUACCGAACUUUAUAAAAACAAAAUUUCUGUUUUGAUAUGUAAUUCCGAUGCUUUGGAGUAUACAUAAAUACGCCAGGAAAAGACUGGAAUUAGUCUUGAAGGUUAAUAAAAGUUUGGCGAAAACCAAGGCAAAGAGAAUCCACUACGGGAGAAUUCUUCACACAAAGACAUGUAAUCGUACCAGGAACACUUUACAAAACACAGUUGCCCUGCGUGUACGACAUGACCUUCAAUGUUCAAUGUUCAUCAUGCAAUCGUAGUAGAAUUAGCUUGACGUGUGAAAAAAGCAAGCUGAAAUUGGAGUACAAUUUGGCAACAGCUCUUUACUCCAAACAGACACACGGCUAGGUACCCAAAAUCGCUUUCACUGUGCGAGACUUUCGAAAUAGCCUGUCAAUGGAAGUUUUUUACAGAAAAAGCUGAAGAAAACUCCUAUAAACGCUAUUCACAGUUGACACAAAGUGGAUGAAUGGAUGACGGUGACCCAUUUUCCUUUGAACGCAAAGUUCCAUACUGACGCAAUUGUGAAAAAGAAAAGGUAUCGUCAGAAAAAAACAAGAGGUUAUAAAACAGUUUUAAAUGAGGGCAAGGGGACAAAAACGCACGUGAACAAUGAGAGAAA